GGUCUUGUAUUCAUUUUGUGAUUUCGGAGUGCAAUUCUGAGGGGGUAGAUUAUAAGUUUACCAAGGCCU
Molecule: transfer RNA, 69 nt
Filed under: Parrhinotermes browni
Lineage: Eukaryota; Metazoa; Arthropoda; Insecta; Blattodea; Rhinotermitidae
Description: tRNA-Cys
Source: RNAcentral